GUCUGAGUGGCCCAGUGGUUAAGGCAUCUGCUUUACAACCGUUUCAGCGUCAGUAUCGCAGAGGGUCGCGGGUUCGAAUCCCGUCUCGGAUA
Molecule: non-coding RNA, 92 nt
Organism: Diplogelasinospora grovesii
Lineage: Eukaryota; Fungi; Ascomycota; Sordariomycetes; Sordariales; Diplogelasinosporaceae
Source: the annotation of a GenBank genome assembly